UACGAAGGGGGCUAGCGUUGCUCGGAAUUACUGGGCGUCAAGCGCACGUAGGCGGCUUUCUAAGUCGGGGGUGAAAUCCUGGAGCUCAACUCCAGAACUGCCUUCGAUACUGGAAAGCUCGAGUCCGGGAGAGGUGAGUGGAACUGCGAGUGUAGAGGUGAAAUUCGUAGAUAUUCGCAAGAACACCAGUGGCGAAGGCGGCUCACUGGCCCGGUACUGACGCUGAGGUGCGAAAGCGUGGGGAGCAAACAGG
Molecule: ribosomal RNA, 253 nt
Filed under: uncultured bacterium
Lineage: Bacteria
Description: partial 16S ribosomal RNA
Rfam family: Bacterial small subunit ribosomal RNA
Source: RNAcentral